Molecule: ribosomal RNA, 2632 nt
Filed under: Dehalococcoidia bacterium
Lineage: Bacteria; Bacillati; Chloroflexota; Dehalococcoidia
Description: partial 23S ribosomal RNA
Rfam family: Bacterial large subunit ribosomal RNA
Source: RNAcentral
GGUCAAGUUAGUAAGGGUCCACGGUGGAUGCCUUGGGGCCAAGAGCCGAAGAAGGGCGUGGCAAGACUGCGAAAAGCCUCGGUCAGCUGUCUAGUGAGCUUAGCCGAGGAUUCCCGAAUUGGGAAACCUCUAACGGGUCAUACCGUUAGACCCGUCGCAAGACGGGGGGUAAGUGGGUGAACUGAAACAUCUAAGUAACCUGAGGAAAAUAAAUCAACCGAGAUUCCCAAAGUAGUGGCGAACGAAAUGGGAACAGCCCAAACCGAUCGGGCUUAGUGGAAUGAGGUCCUAUGUCCGGUCGGGGUUGUAACAUACGCCUGCUCCAACCUCAUAAAGUGAGCAGAGAGUAAGAAAAUCGUUCCUUAGCCAAAUGUUCCUGGAAAGGACAACCGUAGAAGGUGAUAGUCCUGUAGGCGAAAGGGAGCGGUCUCUCGGCGUAUCGUUGAGUACCACGGGACACGUGAAAUCUUGUGGGAAGCUGGGGGGACCACCCUCCAAGGCUAAAUACUCUUGGCCACCGAUAGUGAACCAGUACCGUGAGGGAAAGGUGAAAAGUACCCCAGAUGGGGAGUGAAAUAGACCUGAAACCGUGGACUUACAAGCCGUGGAAGGCUGUAUUCGUACAGCUAACUGCGUGCCUUUUGAAGAAUGAGCCGGCGAGUUAAUCUAUGCAGCUUGGUUAAGGAUCAUGAGGUCCGGAGCCGAAGCGAAAGCGAGUCCGAAUAGGGCGUGCAACUGUCGGAGGCAAAGCUGAACGUUGAAAGCCCGAGACGUUCCAAACUCAGACCAAUGGACUUCGGUCCUGCGAAAAAAGCGCGGAACAGAACGGGAACUAGACCGACGGUAGCGUUUCCAUUAUGUCAGUGAUGUUGUUUGGAUUAGACCCGAAACCGGGUGAGCUACCCAUGGCCAGGCUGAAGCUCGGAUAAUAUCCGAGUGAAGGGCCGAACCCGUGUAUGGUACAAAAUGCUGGGAUGAGCUGUGGGUAGAGGUGAAAUGCCAAUCGAACUCGGAGAUAGCUGGUUCUCCCCGAAAUGUAUUUAGGUACAGCCUCAAGGUAGUAUUGGGGAGGUAGGGCACUGGAUGGACUAGGGGGCGUGAGCCUGCCAACUCCAACCAAACCACGAAUGCCUUUAAUAUGGUCCUUGGGAGUGAGACAGUGGGGGAUAAGCUCCAUUGUCGAGAGGGAAACAGCCCAGAUCGCAGGCUAAGGUCCCUAAGUGUGAACUAAGUGUGAAAGGAAGUGGGAUUCCUAAAACAGCUAGGAGGUUGGCUUAGAAGCAGCCACCCUUUAAAGAGUGCGUAACAGCUCACUAGUCGAGGAGUCCUGCGCCGAAAAUGUAACGGGGCUAAAGUUCACCACCGAAGCCGCGGGAUUCGUCUCGAUAAACUCAAGACGGAUCGGUAGGGGAGCGUUGCCAGGGCGUAGAAGCAGGCGUGUAAACUCCUGUGGAGCGCUGGGAAGUGAGAAUGCCGGCAUGAGUAGCGACAAUCCUGGUGAGAAUCCAGGACACCGAAAGCCUAAGGUUUCCUACGCAAUGCUGAUCAGCGUAGGGUAAGUCGGGCCUAAGCUAUAGCGCACAAGCGAAAGCGAUGGACAACGGGUCAAAAUUCCCGUACCACUGAUUUCUCGUUUUAACGCAAAGGAGGGACACGGACAGGUAGGCGAAGCGUGCCCAUCGGACAUGGUGCGUUGGGCCCUGAAGGCCAUGCCAGGAUAGGAAAAUCCGUUCUGGCGCAAGAGCUGAGGGGGUCUAAAACUUUAGGGCCAGAGCCCUGGAGGAUUCCGCCGAUCCUAUGCCGUCGAGAAAAGCUUCGUUGCAAGAGAUUUUGGUGACCGUACCGCAAACCGACACAGGUAGGCAGGGGUAAAUGUCCCCAGGUGAACGAGAGAACCCUCGUUAAGGAACUCGACAACUUGACCCUGUAACUUAGGAAUAAAGGGUGCCCAUGGGGUGAAGUCCGCAUGCCGGACCAGCCUUUGUGGGCUUCAAUUAACAGGCCCAGGCGACUGUUUAUCAAAAACACAGGUCUCUGCAAAACCGAAAGGUGAAGUAUAGGGGCUGACGCCUGCCCAGUGCCGGAAGGUUAAGAGGAUUUGUUCGAACACUUCGGUGUUCAAAGCUCAGAAUCGAAGCCCCGGUGAACGGCGGCCGUAACUAUAACGGUCCUAAGGUAGCGAAAUCCCUUGUCGGGUAAGUUCCGACCCGCACGAAUGGCGUAACGACCUGGGCGUUGUCUCAACGAGGGGCUCGGUGAAAUUGCAAGGCCAGUGAAGAUGCUGGCUACCCGCAGCAGGACAAAAAGACCCCGUGGAGCUUUACUGUAGCUUGGCAGUGGACUGGGAUUAUAAAUGUGUAGGAUAGGCGGGAGACUGUGAAACCUUGACGCCAGUCAGGGUGGAGUCAACCUUGAAAUACCGCUCUUUUAUUGUUUCGGCCCUAAUCCGUCGAAAAACGGAGACCCUGCCAGGUGGGCAGUUUGACUGGGGCGGUCGCCUCCUAAAAAGUAACGGAGGCGCCCAAAGGUUCCCUCAAGGUGGAUGGAAAUCACCUUUAGAGUGCAUUGGCAUAAGGGAGCUUGACUGUGAGACCUACAAGUCGAGCAGAGACGAAAGUCGGGCAAAGUGAUC